RNAcentral lists this ribosomal RNA (1389 nucleotides) under uncultured bacterium. RNAcentral describes it as "bacterial SSU rRNA". It matches the Rfam family "Bacterial small subunit ribosomal RNA". The record is from RNAcentral.
AGUUUGAUCCUGGCUCAGGAUGAACGCUGGCGGUAUGCUUAACACAUGCAAGUCGAACGGGGUUACCGGAUCGGAGGCUUCGGCCAAAGAGCUGACUAACCUAGUGGCGGACGGGUGAGUAACACGUGAGCAACCAACCUUAUACACAGGAAUAACACUGGGAAACCAGUGCUAAUACCCGAUAUUAUUUAGACAAGGCAUCUUGAUUAAAUGAAAGAUUUAUCGGUAUAAGACGGGCUCGCGUCCGAUUAGCUAGUUGGUAGGGUAAUGGCCUACCAAGGCGACGAUCGGUAGCCGGACUGAGAGGUUGAUCGGCCACAUUGGGACUGAGAACGGCCCACACUCCUACGGGAGGCAGCAGUGGGGAAUAUUGGGCAAUGGAGGCAACUCUGACCCAGCAAUACCGCGUGAAGGAAGAAGGCCUUCGGGUUGUAAACUUCUUUAGACAGGGAAGAAAGAAAUGACAUUACCUGUAGAAUAAGCCACGGCUAACUACGUGCCAGCAGCCGCGGUAAUACGUAGGUGGCGAGCGUUAUCCGGAAUUACUGGGUGUAAAGGGCGCGUAGGCGGGUGUGCAAGUUAGAUGUGAAAACCUGGAGCUCAACUCCAGACUGGCAUCUAAAACUGUACAUCUUGAGUGUCAGAGGGGAAAGUGGAAUUCCUAGUGGAGCGGUAAAAUGCGUAGAGAUUAGGAGGAACAUCGGUGGCGAAGGCGACUUUCUGGCUGACAACUGACGCUGAGGCGCGAAAGCGUGGGGAGCGAACAGGAUUAGAUACCCUGGUAGUCCACGCCGUAAACGCUGUUUACUAGGUGUAGGGGGUAUCGACUCCCUCUGUGCCGCAGUUAACGCAAUAAGUAAUCCACCUGGGGAGUACGGCCGCAAGGUUAAAACUCAAAGAAAUUGACGGGGACCCGCACAAGCAGUGGAUUAUGUGGUUUAAUUCGAGGCAACGCGAAGAACCUUACCAGGGUUUGACAUCCCGCGCUAUAGGCAGAGAUGCUUAGUUCCCUUCGGGGACGCGGAGACAGGUGGUGCAUGGUUGUCGUCAGCUCGUGUCGUGAGAUGUUGGGUUAAGUCCCGCAACGAGCGCAACCCCUGUUGCUAGUUGCCAUCAUUAAGUUGGGCACUCUAGCGAGACUGCCGGUGACAAAUCGGAGGAAGGUGGGGACGACGUCAAAUCAUCAUGCCCCUUAUGUCCUGGGCUACACACGUACUACAAUGGCUAUAACAGCAGGGAGCUAAGGAGUAAUCCGGAGCGAAUCCUCAAAAAUAGUCCCAGUUCGAAUUGUGGGCUGAAACCCGCCCACAUGAAGUCGGAAUUGCUAGUAAUGGCAGGUCAGCAUACUGCCGUGAAUACGUUCCCGGGUCUUGUACUCACCGCCCGUCA